This 1434-nucleotide long non-coding RNA is filed under the name Bos taurus (domestic cattle). Its description in RNAcentral is "long non-coding RNA NONBTAT030223". Lineage: Eukaryota; Metazoa; Chordata; Mammalia; Artiodactyla; Bovidae. The record is from RNAcentral.
AAAUAAGGAAAGAUAGGGCAAGAUAUCUGAGUAGUGCCAUUAUAUAUUCGAAAAAAAAAUCUAUGUCGAGUUAGAAACAAAGGAAACAAGGAAACAGACCAGAUAUAAAAAUGCAGAGAUAUAUUUCAUUUCUGUGAUACAAACCAUAAACAUAGUUUUGUGCAAAAAAGGGAAAAGAUCUGAAAAUAAAGUCAUCUUACAAAAUGUUGUCCACAAAGCGAAAGAUAUUUUUCAGUCUGUGAAAAAAUACUAUUUUAAUACAAAAGGGACUGUGUUAUGCAGUAUCACAGUGCUUUAUAAAAUACAUUAUUACAAGUGGUUUUGAAAUUUAGUUUGUUCACCUUAAUGACUUCAGUAAUUAUAAAAUGUUUAAAAUAAAUGUUAUAGUUCUUUAUAAAAAACUAACUUGAAUUUAUUUUUUACCCAUAGUAAUGUUUUUCCAGAGUAGAUAUUUUACUGGCUCAUGGAAUGCUAAUUUCCCUUUAAGGGACUCCUAGAAAAACUCAGAUUCACUGAAAUUGUGUUUCCUUAAAAUAAUAAAUAUUCUUGGAAAACAAUUGAUUGUCAUAUGAUAUACAAAAUUGUGGUUGAAUCUUCAUCAUUAAACAGUUGCAUAGCAACAAAAGGAUACAAAUAUUCGCCUUUACCUAAAGUUAAAAAAAUGUAACUGCUGAAUCAGCUUAUUUAUGCCGUAAAAUUGUAUUAUUUCCAAAUAAAUCUGAAUAUAGCCAAUUUUUUAUGUUCACAAUACCUAUAGGUCCAUAUUUGUUGUCUGAAGAUUCAUUGUUUGGGAAAAUUGCCACACAUUUUUGUAAACAUAUUUCUUUGAAUUUGUUGUUUUACAAAAUUGAAAUGUCAAUGUGCUUCUAAUUAUCCUACAUUCUCUUUAUCAAAUAUUAUUGCCAGGAAUUAUUUUAUAUCCUGUAAGUCUCUUUGUAAGUCUCUUCAGCUGUAAAAUUUAAAAAAAAAUGAGACUUUGAGACGUUGUUCUUAGAAUAAAGGAGUUUUUUUUUUUUGUUUUUGUUUAACAAGAGAAACAUCAAUCAUAGUAUUCCUUUUUAUACAGAACUUGAAACCCAUAAGAACUCUAAGUUUGGCAAAAGAUGUCUAGCAGGUCAGGCAUGAGAUGCACAUUUGAUACCUUCUUCUAACUAAGGCAAAAAUGAUCAUUUUGCUUCUAUUUACCAGCUUAAAAAAUUCAGUUCAUGGUAAAUGUUUGCUGAGAACUCAGUACUUGGUUUUCAAAGAUAUGUAAUAUUUUGCAAAUAGAAUUUAUAGUCUUUGGAUUCCAACUAACUCUAUGGAUAAAUUGUCAUAUAACUGUUGGUGUUGGAAUAAAAUCUGUGAACAUUUCCAGAUAAGAAAAUAAAGUGUGAGAAACUUUAAAUUAACUAGAUAUUGAUAACAAAGAGUUCCUCCUGCCCCAGAGUCCAC